AACCCCCAGUGGCAGGUUUUACCCUCACAAAAGGAUAUGCUUAUGGUUCAUCCAGAAUCGUGGAAUCCAGAGUGGUCUGUAGCAAGCAUACUAACAGCGCUCCUAUCAUUUAUGGUAAGUUACUUUUUCAUCAGCUACAAUUAGCAAAAAGAACAGCUUACUAGG
Long non-coding RNA from Triticum dicoccoides, 165 nucleotides. RefSeq lists it as uncharacterized. The transcript is spliced from 3 exons. Lineage: Eukaryota; Viridiplantae; Streptophyta; Magnoliopsida; Poales; Poaceae. The record is from RefSeq and is a predicted model, not a curated record.